UGGGGAAUAUUGCACAAUGGGCGCAAGCCUGAUGCAGCGACGCCGCGUGCGGGAUGGAGGCCUUCGGUUGUAAACCGCUUUGUUCAAGGGCAAGGCAGGCUUUCGGGCCUGUUGAGUGGAUUGUUCGAAUAAGCACCGGCUAACUACGUGCC
Molecule: ribosomal RNA, 152 nt
Filed under: uncultured bacterium
Lineage: Bacteria
Description: partial 16S ribosomal RNA
Rfam family: Bacterial small subunit ribosomal RNA
Source: RNAcentral